AACGUACGCUGGCGGCACGCCUAACACAUGCAAGUCGAACGAAGUAGCAAUACUUAGUGGCAGACGGGUGAGUAACAUGUGGGUAUCUGCCCUUUGGCCUGGAAUAACACGAGGAAACUUGUGCUAAUACCGGAUAAGUCUUUACGGAGAAAGCUUUAUGCACCAUUGGAUGAGCCCGCACUUGAUUAGUUUGUUGGUAGGGUAAUGGCCUACCAAGACUAUGAUCAAUAGCUGAUUUGAGAGGAUGAUCAGCCACAUUGGGACUGAGACACGGCCCAAACUCCUACGGGAGGCAGCAGUGGGGAAUCUUGCACAAUGGAGGAAACUCUGAUGCAGCGAUGCCGCGUGAGUGAAGAAGGCCUUUGGGUUGUAAAGCUCUUUCGUCGGGGAAGAAAAUGACUGUACCCGAAUAAGAAGGUCCGGCUAACUUCGUGCCAGCAGCCGCGGUAAUACGAAGGGACCUAGCGUAGUUCGGAAUUACUGGGCUUAAAGAGUUCGUAGGUGGUUGAAGAAGUUGGUGGUGAAAUCCCAGAGCUUAACUCUGGAACUGCCAUCAAAACUUUUCGGCUAGAGUUUGAUAGAGGAAAGCAGAAUUUCUAGUGUAGAGGUGAAAUUCGUAGAUAUUAGAAAGAAUACCAAUUGCGAAGGCAGCUUUCUGGAUCAUUACUGACACUGAGGAACGAAAGCAUGGGUAGCGAAGAGGAUUAGAUACCCUCGUAGUCCAUGCCGUAAACGAUGUGUGUUAGACGUUGGAAAUUUAUUUUCAGUGUCGCAGCGAAAGCGAUAAACACACCGCCUGGGGGAGUACGACCGCAAGGUUAAAACUCAAAUGAAUUGACGGGGACCCGCACAAGUAGUGGAGCAUGUGGUUUAAUUCGAAGAUACGCGCAGAACCUUACCAACACUUGACAUGUUCGUCGCGACUUUAAGAGAUUAAAGUUUUCGGUUCGGCCGGACGAAACACAGGUGCUGCAUGGCUGUCGUCAGCU
RNAcentral lists this ribosomal RNA (989 nucleotides) under uncultured bacterium. RNAcentral describes it as "bacterial SSU rRNA". It matches the Rfam family "Bacterial small subunit ribosomal RNA", at positions 28 to 1060 of the family's 1533-position model. The record is from RNAcentral.